CAAGCGUUGUUCGGAAUUACUGGGCGUAAAGAGCUCGUAGGCGGCCAACUAAGUCGGAUGUGAAAUCCCCAAGCUUAACUUGGGAACUGCAUUCGAUACUGGAUGGCUUGAAUCCGGGAGAGGGAUGCAGAAUUCCAGGUGUAGCGGUGAAAUGCGCAGAUAUCAGGAGGAACACCGAUUGCGAAGGCAGCUCGCUGGGACGUUACUGACGCUGAGACGCGAAAGCGUGGGGAGCAAACAGG
This 242-nucleotide ribosomal RNA is filed under the name uncultured bacterium. RNAcentral describes it as "partial 16S ribosomal RNA". It matches the Rfam family "Bacterial small subunit ribosomal RNA", at positions 535 to 776 of the family's 1533-position model. The record is from RNAcentral.